UCCCUAGUGGCUUAGAUGGUAAAGAAUCUACCUGCAAUGCAGGAGACCAAGGUUCGAUCCCUGGGUUGGGAA
This 72-nucleotide transfer RNA is filed under the name Bos taurus (domestic cattle). It matches the Rfam family "tRNA". Rfam says of the family: Transfer RNA (tRNA) molecules are approximately 80 nucleotides in length. Their secondary structure includes four short double-helical elements and three loops (D, anti-codon, and T loops). RNAcentral also lists the same sequence under 5 other names. Lineage: Eukaryota; Metazoa; Chordata; Mammalia; Artiodactyla; Bovidae. The record is from Rfam by way of RNAcentral.